RNAcentral lists this ribosomal RNA (496 nucleotides) under uncultured bacterium. RNAcentral's name for it is "partial 16S ribosomal RNA". It matches the Rfam family "Bacterial small subunit ribosomal RNA", at positions 29 to 507 of the family's 1533-position model. The record is from RNAcentral.
AUGAACGCUGGCGGCGUGCCUAAUACAUGCAAGUCGAGCGAACGGACGAGAAGCUUGCUUCUCUGAUGUUAGCGGCGGACGGGUGAGUAACACGUGGCUAACCUACCUAUAAGACUGGGAUAACUUCGGGAAACCGGAGCUAAUACCGGAUAAUAUUUUGAACCGCAUGGUUCAAAAGUGAAAGACGGUCUUGCUGUCACUUAUAGAUGGAUCCGCGCUGCAUUAGCUAGUUGGUAAGGUAACGGCUUACCAAGGCAACGAUGCAUAGCCGACCUGAGAGGGUGAUCGGCCACACUGGAACUGAGACACGGUCCAGACUCCUACGGGAGGCAGCAGUAGGGAAUCUUCCGCAAUGGGCGAAAGCCUGACGGAGCAACGCCGCGUGAGUGAUGAAGGUCUUCGGAUCGUAAAACUCUGUUAUUAGGGAAGAACAUAUGUGUAAGUAACUGUGCACAUCUUGACGGUACCUAAUCAGAAAGCCACGGCUAACUACGUG